This 65-nucleotide transfer RNA is filed under the name Tremoctopus violaceus. RNAcentral's name for it is "tRNA-Leu". The record is from RNAcentral. Lineage: Eukaryota; Metazoa; Mollusca; Cephalopoda; Octopoda; Tremoctopodidae.
UAAAGUUGGCAGAUAGAAUGUGAAUAAUUUAGGAUUAUUUUAUAAAAUUAUUAUUUUACUUUAUA